RNAcentral lists this ribosomal RNA (468 nucleotides) under uncultured bacterium. RNAcentral's name for it is "partial 16S ribosomal RNA". It matches the Rfam family "Bacterial small subunit ribosomal RNA", at positions 28 to 507 of the family's 1533-position model. The record is from RNAcentral.
GACGAACGCUGGCGGCGUGCUUAACACAUGCAAGUCGAACGGAAAGGCCCUGCUUUUGUGGGGUGCUCGAGUGGCGAACGGGUGAGUAAAACGUGAGUAACCUGCCCUUGACUUUGGGAUAACUUCAGGAAACUGGGGCUAUUACCGGAUAGGAGCUCCUGCUGCAUGGUGGGGGUUGGAAAGUUUCGGCGGUUGGGGAUGGACUCGAGGCUUAUCAGCUUGUUGGUGGGGUAGUGGCUUACAAAGGCUUUGACGGGUAGCCGGCCUGGGAGGGUGACCGGCCACAUUGGUACUGAGAUACGGCCCAGACUCCUACGGGAGGCAGCAGUGGGGAAUAUUGCACAAUGGGCGGAAGCCUGAUGCAGCAACGCCGCGUGCGUGAUGACGGCCUUCGGGUUGUAAACCGCUUUCGCCUGUGACGAAGCGUGAGUGACGGUAAUGGGUAAAGAAGCACCGGCUAACUACGUG